UUAAACAUUAUUAAUUAAGUAGUAAAGAAAUUUCCGAAACUUAAAAAAUUUGGCGGUGUUUUAAAUAAUUGGAGGAAUCUGUUAAUUAAAUGAUAUUCCACAACAAAUCUCCCCUUACUUUUGUUUGUAUAUCGUCAUUCACAGACAAUAUUUAAAAAUAAUAGUCACGAUUAAUAAAAUUUAAUAAAUUAGAUCAAGGUGCAGCAUAGUAAGGUUAUAAUGGAUUACAAUAUUAUUAAAAUACUUACGGAUAAGAAAAAGAAAUUUUCUUUGAAGGAGGAUUCAAAAGUAAUUUGAAAAUAAAAUGUUUUUUUGAAUAAUAAUUUAAAACAUGC
RNAcentral lists this ribosomal RNA (335 nucleotides) under Diplocentrus mexicanus. RNAcentral's name for it is "partial 12S ribosomal RNA". Lineage: Eukaryota; Metazoa; Arthropoda; Arachnida; Scorpiones; Diplocentridae. The record is from RNAcentral.